GGCGCUGUGGCUUAGUUGAACAAAGUGCCUGUCUAGUAAACAGGAGAUCCUGGGUUCAAAUCCCAGCAGUGCCU
Non-coding RNA from Danio rerio (zebrafish), 74 nucleotides. Lineage: Eukaryota; Metazoa; Chordata; Actinopteri; Cypriniformes; Danionidae. The record is from Rfam.